Long non-coding RNA from Molossus molossus (Pallas's mastiff bat), 446 nucleotides. RefSeq lists it as uncharacterized. The record is from RefSeq and is a predicted model, not a curated record. NCBI's taxonomy places the organism in Eukaryota, Metazoa, Chordata, Mammalia, Chiroptera, Molossidae. The transcript is spliced from 3 exons.
AGCUGUCUCCCCAGUCUUCGCCCUAACGCCAAACAACUCAGUUCUUCCCCAUAUGUCUUUGGUGCCUUUCCAGCUGCCUCCCCUCCAUGCUGAAGCUUAGAGGGAGAAGGUCUGAAUGGUAAAGGAAGUAAAGUCGCUGGAUUAAGGGGAGAGGUAGAUGCUACUGAGACCUGAGGCAUUUGGAGAAAAAGGGUGUGUAGCUGCUGAAUGCGAGAAGAAUCCUCUCUGGUGGGACUACAAAGGAGGUCAUCUACAUACUGAAGAAGAAUGGACCCUUUUAUGUCUAAUUGCUGCAAGUCACUGGCUAUGGCCUGCCCAAAGAGGUGGAGACUGCCCCGAAAUCCUUGAAGAAUGGUCCAGGUUAGCUGUUGGGACUGCCCAGUGUCUGGGUCAGUCCAGGUGAAAGCAAAAAGGUUUUGAGAACCUGGAUGUAAGGGAAUAGUAAA